Molecule: ribosomal RNA, 481 nt
Filed under: uncultured bacterium
Lineage: Bacteria
Description: partial 16S ribosomal RNA
Rfam family: Bacterial small subunit ribosomal RNA
Source: RNAcentral
GAUGAACGCUGGCGGCGUGCCUAACACAUGCAAGUCGAACGGAGAUUACGGACGGAAGUUUUCGGAUGGAAGACUGUAAUUCUUAGUGGCGGACGGGUGAGUAACGCGUGGGCAACCUGCCCUAUACAGGGGGAUAGCAGCUGGAAACGGCUGGUAAGACCGCAUAAGUCGGUUAAAUCGCAUGAUUUGAUCGGGAAAUGAGCAAUCAGGUAUAGGAUGGGCCCGCGUCCGAUUAGCCAGUUGGCAGGGUAAAAGCCUACCAAAGCGACGAUCGGUAGCCGGACUGAGAGGUCGGACGGCCACAUUGGGACUGAGACACGGCCCAAACUCCUACGGGAGGCAGCGGUGGGGGAUAUUGCACAAUGGAGGAAACUCUGAUGCAGCGACGCCGCGUGAGUGAAGAAGUAUUUCGGUAUGUAAAGCUCUAUCAGCAGGGAAGAUGAUGACGGUACCUGACUAAGAAGCCCCGGCUAACUACGUG